RNAcentral lists this non-coding RNA (22 nucleotides) under Arabidopsis thaliana (thale cress). Lineage: Eukaryota; Viridiplantae; Streptophyta; Magnoliopsida; Brassicales; Brassicaceae. RNAcentral also lists the same sequence under 2 other names. The record is from RNAcentral.
AAGGUAGCCAAAUGCCUCGUCA